Molecule: ribosomal RNA, 752 nt
Filed under: Chloropicon roscoffensis
Lineage: Eukaryota; Viridiplantae; Chlorophyta; Chloropicophyceae; Chloropicales; Chloropicaceae
Description: bacterial SSU rRNA
Rfam family: Bacterial small subunit ribosomal RNA
Source: RNAcentral
GUGCCAGCAGCCGCGGUAAGACGGGGAUGCAAGCGUUAUUCGGAAUUAUUGGGCGUAAAGCGUCUGUAGGUGGUGAGGAAAGUGUUUUGUUAAAGAUCAGGGCUCAACCCUGGGAAAGCAAGGCAAACUAUCUCACUUGAGUUCGGUAGGGGCAGAGAGAAUUCCCAGUGUAGCGGUGAAAUGCGUAGAUAUUGGGAGGAAGACCGGUGGCGAAGGCGUUCUGCUGGGCCGUAACUGACACUGAGAGACGAAAGCUAAGGGAGCAAAUAGGAUUAGAUACCCUAGUAGUCUUAGCUGUAAACGAUGCACACUAUGCUUUGCAAUUUGCAGAGCAAAAGCUAACGCGUUAAGUGUGCCGCCUGGGGAGUACAUUCGCAAGGAUGAAACUCAAAGGAAUUGACGGGGACCCGCACAAGCGGUGGAGCAUGUGGUUUAAUUCGAUGCAACGCGAAGAACCUUACCAAGAAUUGACAUGCUGCGAACGUUUACGAAAGUAAAAAGUCUAUUAACUUAGUUAAUAGCGCAGACACAGGUGGUGCAUGGUUGUCGUCAGCUCGUGCCGUGAGGUGUUGGGUUAAGUCCCGCAACGAGCGCAACCCUUGUCUUUAGUUAUAAUCUAGAGAGACUGCCGGUGAUAAACCGGAGGAAGGUGAGGAUGACGUCAAAUCAGCAUGCCCCUUACAUCUUGGGCGACUCACGUGCUACAAUGGUCGAGACAAAGAGAUGCUACCCUGCGAAGGCAAGCUAACCUC